CGGCUCCGCUCCGGAGAGGUGGGCGGAGGGAAGAGAAGGCGGGGCCGGCGAGGCGAGAGGAAGAGGAAGGAACGCGCCUGGCGUCACUGAGGGUGUAACCCGGGACCGCUGCUCAGGCACCCCACAUGGACCUUGUGCUGUCGCUGCCAUGGCACCCCUUCUAGAAGGACUCUAUUGUGUGUAACAGAAGUGGGAGCCUUGGACAACUGAACACCUAUCAAGAAAUGUCAGCUUUUUUUUUUUUUUUUUUUUUUCUUGAGACUGUCACCCAGUCUGGAGUUCAGUGGCACCAUCUUGGCUCUCUGUAACCUCCACCUCCUGGGCUCAAGAGAUUCUCCUGCCUCAGCCUCCUGAGUAGCUGGGACUACAGGUAUACACCAUCACUCCUCGCUAGU
This 395-nucleotide long non-coding RNA is filed under the name Piliocolobus tephrosceles (Ugandan red Colobus). RNAcentral describes it as "lncRNA (ENSPTEG00000032924.1)". The record is from RNAcentral. Lineage: Eukaryota; Metazoa; Chordata; Mammalia; Primates; Cercopithecidae.